This 483-nucleotide ribosomal RNA is filed under the name uncultured bacterium. RNAcentral's name for it is "partial 16S ribosomal RNA". It matches the Rfam family "Bacterial small subunit ribosomal RNA", at positions 28 to 507 of the family's 1533-position model. The record is from RNAcentral.
GACGAACGCUGGCGGCGUGCUUAACACAUGCAAGUCGAACGCUGAAGCUCAGCUUUUGUUGGGUGGAUGAGUGGCGAACGGGUGAGUAACACGUGAGUAACCUGCCCCCUUCUUUGGGAUAACGCCCGGAAACGGGUGCUAAUACUGGAUAUUCACUGGUCUUCGCAUGGGGGUUGGUGGAAAGGGUUUUUCUGGUGGGGGAUGGGCUCGCGGCCUAUCAGCUUGUUGGUGGGGUGAUGGCCUACCAAGGCUUUGACGGGUAGCCGGCCUGAGAGGGUGACCGGUCACAUUGGGACGGAGAUACGGCCCAGACUCCUACGGGAGGCAGCAGUGGGGAAGAUUGCACAAUGGGCGAAAGCCUGAUGCAGCGACGCCGCGUGAGGGAUGGAGGCCUUCGGGUUGUGAACCUCUUUCGCUCAUGGUCAAGCCGCAACAAUGGUUGUGGUGAGGGUAGUGGGUAAAGAAGCGCCGGCUAACUACGUG